GACUAGGCACUAUUGGUCUAUCAUUUUGAUAGUACUGGUAGGAUUUGACUAGUCUUUUUUUCUAGAGACCUAUAUGCCUUUCGGGGUGUAUUAGGAGCUUCUCUAGGACUUUUACUGUGAAGAAAUUAGAGUGUUUAAGGCAGGCAUAUGCUUGAAUACAUUAGCAUGGAAUAAUAGAAUAAGACUUUGGUUUUAUUUUAUUGGUUUUAAGGACCAAAGUA
RNAcentral lists this ribosomal RNA (221 nucleotides) under uncultured fungus. Its description in RNAcentral is "partial small subunit ribosomal RNA". The stretch from base 97 to 221 matches the Rfam family "Eukaryotic small subunit ribosomal RNA", at positions 737 to 864 of the family's 1831-position model. The record is from RNAcentral. Lineage: Eukaryota; Fungi.